CGGAGGGUUUGAUCCUGGCUCAGAGCGAACGCUGGCGGCGUGGAUUAGACAUGCAAGUCGAGCGAUCCUUCUCCUUGGGGCAACCCAAGGAGGGGAUAGCGGCGAACGGGUGAGUAACACGUGGGUAACCUGCCUCCAAGACGGGGAUAAUCCCGAGAAAUCGGGACUAAUACCCGAUAAAUCCUUCCCACUCAUGUGGUGAAGGACAAAAGGGUCCAGGUGACUGGAUUCCGCUUGGAGAUGGGCCCGCGUCCCAUCAGCUAGUUGGUGGGGUAAUGGCCCACCAAGGCGAUGACGGGUAGCUGGUAUUCUAAGUCCGGGAGCUACGGGGGCAUAGAGACACGGCCCCGACGCCUACGGGAGGAAGCAGCCGAGAAUGUUCGCCGAUGGGCGAAAGCCUGAGGGAGCGACGCCGCGUGGGGGAUGAAGGCCUUAGGGUUGUAAA
Molecule: ribosomal RNA, 445 nt
Filed under: Candidatus Omnitrophota bacterium
Lineage: Bacteria; Pseudomonadati; Candidatus Omnitrophota
Description: bacterial SSU rRNA
Rfam family: Bacterial small subunit ribosomal RNA
Source: RNAcentral